Molecule: long non-coding RNA, 908 nt
Organism: Oreochromis aureus
Lineage: Eukaryota; Metazoa; Chordata; Actinopteri; Cichliformes; Cichlidae
Exons: 4
Source: RefSeq, a predicted model, not a curated record
CUCACGUCUGCAGUGCUGCCGUCUCCUGUAACCCUGCAUAUUACCAAGUUGCCUUUCCCCACCUGUAUCCAGUCAUCACACUUCAAAGCACAAAGCGUGUGAUGUCACAGUAACGCAUUCUGUGAUAGGAGGUCAUAUAUAGGAGUGAACCUGACACUCACACAGCCUGAACUGGCUGCCUGUCCUCACGUCUGCAGUGCUGCCAUCUCCUGUAACCCUGCAUGUUUCUAAGCUGCCUAUCCUCACCUGUGCAGUGCUGCUGUCUCCGGUUACCCUGAAAGUUUCUAAGUUGCAUAUCCCCACCUGUAUAGGAGUGAAAUUGACGCUCACACACCCUGAACUGGCUACCUGUCCUCACCUGUGCAGUGCUACCGUCUCCUGUCACCCUGCAUGUAUCCAACUUUAGUUUUCUCCGUUUUUAUGAUGUUCUCGUAAUUUUUAUCCUCAGAUGAGGUUUGAAGUGUCUGUGUGGUGCAGCUGGCCUGGUCUGUCUCUAUACAGUCGAGGCUGCACCCACCUAUAAAAAGGUGGAGGCUCACCAGGACAUGCACACCUCACAAGUUCCUGGCUCUCUCGGCUCGGUUGAAGACGGGUUUCUUCGAGAAGGGGAGGGCAGUGAGGCACAGUCCCCCGCCCCCCGACGCCCCUCGCGAUGCCCCUCCUUCUUCGACUAACCCGCUGCAGAGGAGCCGUGGGAGCCAGGAACUUGUGAGUUUUGUAUGUCCACUCAGGCAUCAUUCAUACCUGGUCUGUAGGAAGUUCCUGUCAGAAGGAGGGGGGCACCGCGAGGGCGUCCAGGGGCGGAAGGCGGUGCCUUAGUGCCUCCCUCCUUCUGACAUUGUAAAAGAACCCUAACUUUAUUUUCUUUUUAAUAGUAAUAUAGAUAUAUAUGUAUAUGUGUGUUUUAU